AACGAACGCUGGCGGCAUGCCUAACACAUGCAAGUCGAACGAGACCUUCGGGUCUAGUGGCGCACGGGUGCGUAACGCGUGGGAACCUGCCCUUAGGUUCGGAAUAACUCCCCGAAAGGGGUGCUAAUACCGGAUAAUGUCUUCGGACCAAAGAUUUAUCGCCUUUGGAUGGGCCCGCGUUGGAUUAGCUAGUUGGUAGGGUAAAAGCCUACCAAGGCGACGAUCCAUAGCUGGUCUGAGAGGAUGAUCAGCCACACUGGGACUGAGACACGGCCCAGACCCCUACGGGGGGCAGGAGGGGGGAAUUUUGGACAAGGGGCGAAAGCCUGAUCCAGCAAUGCCGGGGGAGUGAUGAAGGCCUUAGGGUUGUAAAGCUCUUUUACCCGGGAUGAUAAUGACAGUACCGGGAAAAUAAGCCCCGGCUAACUCCGU
RNAcentral lists this ribosomal RNA (432 nucleotides) under uncultured bacterium. RNAcentral describes it as "partial 16S ribosomal RNA". It matches the Rfam family "Bacterial small subunit ribosomal RNA", at positions 29 to 506 of the family's 1533-position model. The record is from RNAcentral.